Molecule: ribosomal RNA, 253 nt
Filed under: uncultured bacterium
Lineage: Bacteria
Description: partial 16S ribosomal RNA
Rfam family: Bacterial small subunit ribosomal RNA
Source: RNAcentral
GACGAACCGUGCGAACGUUGUUCGGAAUCACUGGGCUUAAAGGGCGCGUAGGCGGGCCUUCAAGUCCGGGGUGAAAUCCUCCAGCCUAACUGGAGAAGAGCCUCGGAGACUGAGGGCCUCGAGGAGGGUAGGGGCGUGCGGAACUCUGGGUGGAGCGGUGAAAUGCAUUGAUAUCCAGAGGAACUCCGGUGGCGAAGGCGGCACGCUGGACCCUUUCUGACGCUGAGGCGCGAAAGCCAGGGGAGCAAACGGG